This 373-nucleotide unclassified non-coding RNA is filed under the name soil metagenome. Its description in RNAcentral is "partial contains 5.8S ribosomal RNA, internal transcribed spacer 2, and large subunit ribosomal RNA". The stretch from base 1 to 121 matches the Rfam family "5.8S ribosomal RNA", at positions 35 to 154 of the family's 154-position model. The record is from RNAcentral.
GAUGAAGAACGUAGCGAAAUGCGAUAAGUAAUGCGAAUUGCAGAAUUCCAGUGAGUCAUCGAAUCUUUGAACGCACAUUGCGCCCUUUGGUAUUCCGAAGGGCAUGCCUGUUCGAGCGUCAUUAUCACCCCUCAAGCCCUCGGCUUGGUGUUGGACGGUUUGGUGGAGGCCCCCUCGGGGGCUCCUGCCCCUCCCAAAGACAAUGACGGCGGCCUCGUUGGACCCCCGGUACACUGAGUUCUUCACGGGACACGUAUCGGACACAUGGGUUUACGGGACACGGUCUGCCUCCCCUCAGGGAGAAUCUUUCUAAGGUUGACCUCGGAUCAGGUAGGGAUACCCGCUGAUCUUAAGCAUAUCAAUAAGCGGAGGA